This is a long non-coding RNA of Trachemys scripta elegans, 659 nucleotides long. RefSeq lists it as uncharacterized. The transcript is spliced from 3 exons. The record is from RefSeq and is a predicted model, not a curated record. Lineage: Eukaryota; Metazoa; Chordata; Testudines; Emydidae.
UGUACAAUUUUUCUUGGCACCAGUUAGAGUAAACAAUAUUUUUUGCACUUACCUGAAGGAUCAGAUUUGGCCAGAUGGCUUCCUGAAUGAUCUUCUCCUUGUUUGGUGUCCGCCUGAAACAGAAAAGUAAACACACGCAAAGGAAUUGCCAUACCAGAGAAGACCAGAAGUCCAUCUAGUACAGUACCCUGCCUUCAACGGUGGCCAGCAUCAGAUGCCUUAGAGAAAGAUACCACCCACAUCAGAUGUCUAACCUGAAUGAACAGACAGUGUACUGUCUGAACCACUGAAGUGGAGUCUUCUUUACUGUGACUAUUCUUUUGAUGGCAUUCUUCAUCCUACACCACAGAAACAAACAAACAAACAAAACAAACAGUUAAGCUAAUACAGAAUGGUCCAAUUCCUUCAUCAUCAAAUCAUUUUCGGAUGGCCAGAAUACAUUCUUGUAUUGUGACUUUCUAUGGCUGAAUUUUGAGCAUAGUAAGACAGGAAGAAGUGUCGUACCUUAUCUAUCCAUUAACACUGCUUCAUUUUCAAAAUAUUAAUGAAUAUUUUUAUCAUUACCAAGUAAUAGAGAAAGGGUACACAGUGGAAUAUCUGUAUUUAAUCUGAACCUCAAACUACCUUAUCUUGGAAAAAAAUUAUUUGUGGAAAAUAAG